Molecule: ribosomal RNA, 1667 nt
Filed under: Oplophorus gracilirostris
Lineage: Eukaryota; Metazoa; Arthropoda; Malacostraca; Decapoda; Oplophoridae
Description: eukaryotic LSU rRNA
Rfam family: Eukaryotic large subunit ribosomal RNA
Source: RNAcentral
CCGAUAGAGAACAAGUACCGUGAGGGAAAGUUGAAAAGGACUUUGAAGAGAGAGUUCAAGAGGACGUGAAACCGUUAGAAGCCAAACGGGUGGAACCGCGAAGGUCGAACGAGGGGAUUCAGCCCGUCGGCCGGCAGAGGCGGUGGACGGCUCGCUCGACACGAGCGCGAGGACCGGGCGCGAGGCGUCCCGGCUCCGUCCCCGCCUCCCCCUUGCCGGCGGGCUUAUUUCUCCCUCCAGUAGGUCGCCGCGACCCGUGGCGGGGACCCCGAGGCCGUCCCGGACCGGGAGGCUCCCUGUGUUGGAGCCGACGCCGGGCGCGGUUCUGGCGGCCCCUGCGACGGUCACUGCGGGGAGGGCGCGUGAAGCGCCCUCCCUGCGGCGUGCAAGGGAUCGGUGACCCACCCGACCCGUCUUGAAACACGGACCAAGGAGUCCAACAUGUGCGCGAGUCUAAGGGCACACUAAACCCGGAGGCGAAAUGAAAGUGAGCAACGCUCCGUUGCAGGCCGAUCCCCGGCCGUCCGCGCCGACCGGGCCGGGCGGAGGUCCCGCGCGUCCGCGCGCGGGCUUCCGAAUCCCGGGCCGGGCCUCCGCGGCGGCCCUCGCCGUCUUCGGCGGCGAGCAGAGGGCGCAGGCCGAGGACUUGCCGCUCGGCGGCCCGGGGCGACGGGGGCCUCGCGCUCCCGUUCCCCGGCGUCCGCCGGCAAGUACCUGAGAGCGCAYCCGUUGGGACCCGAAAGAUGGUGAACUAUGCCUGGCCAGGACGAAGCCAGGGGAAACCCUGGUGGAGGUCCGAAGCAGUUCUGACGUGCAAAUCGAUUGGCAGAGCUGGGUAUAGGGGCGAAAGACUAAUCGAACCAUCUAGUAGCUGGUUCCCUCCGAAGUUUCCCUCAGGAUAGCUGGCAUUCGGAGUCUAAAGUGGAUGAGUUUCAUCCGGUAAAGCCAAUGAUUAGAGGCCUUGGGGGUGCAAUGCCCUCAACCUAUUCUCAAACUUUAAAUGGGUGAGAUGUAGAGCUUGCUUGAUCCAGAUACACUCGAAGCUCUAUGAUUGAAUCAGAAUGUCUAGUGGGCCACUUUUGGUAAGCAGAACUGGCGAUGUGGGAUGAACCAAACGCGCGAGUUAAGGGGCCUAAAGGAAUGCUAAUGUUGACACUACGAAAAGGUGUUGGUUGCUAUAGACAGCAGGGCGGUGGCCAUGGAAGUCGGAAUCCGCUAAGGAGUGUGUAACAACUCACCUGCCGAAGCAACUAGCCCUUAAAAUGGUAUGGCGCUCAAGCAUUCUCCCGAUACUCGGCCGCCGGGGCACUACGGGCCCUGAGAAGGGUCUCGAAGCCCCGGCGAGUAGGAGGGUCGCAGCGGUGAGCGCAGAAGGGACCCGGCGCAGGCCGGCCUGGAGCCGCCGCUGGCGCAGAUCUUGGUGGUAGUAGCAAAUAAUCAAGAGAGAACCUCGUUGACUGAUGUGGGGAAGGGUUCCAUGUCAACAUCAGUUGGACAUGGGUGAGUCAGACCUAAGCCCAAGGAUAAACUUCCUGCGUUCCAGGACUCCCCAAGCGACGACUCGUGGAAGGUCGUUGGGCCGCCCUCGCGGUCGCGGGGGCGGCCUUAUAAAACCGCGUUGCCGCUGCACGCGAACAGAGAGAAAAAGCAGAGGAGGGGACGCAGUG